UGAACACGUAAAUGUAUUGGCUUUCGCAAAUCAUAGGUGUUGCUAUGUGGAUAUAACUGUAUGAGUUCACAAUAACAGAAACAAAGCUUGCUAAAGACACAAGAUUAGGCAACAAGUUGGAAAUGGCCAGAACUCUUGAGCAAAAUGGAGUCACGUAGCAAAAGAAUUUGUAAAGGUAAAAGAAGGGGGGGGGGGGGGCUUGAUAUGAGGAAAGCUAGUGCCUGGAAAACACAGAGUUAAAGUACUUUUAGCUUAACUUAGAUCGAAGAUAAAGAACAAUGUUUGUGUUGUAAGUCUGUGGUGAGAUAACAGGAUUUAGUGGCCCCACUAAACAGGUAUGAAUUAUUUCACACCAUCCUUCUACUUAUCAGUUAGUUUAGAGACAGCGCCUCCCAAACAUCUGCUUGGAUACUCCUUGUCUGCCCAUCCUGCAAUAAAUUUUACAGGAAGGUCGGACUGUUAUAAAUCUUUGCCAGCUAUCAGAAAAGUUACAGAUACGUCUGGUUUCAGCUAGUUUUGUGACUACGGGGGCAUCCAACUGUGCCAAAGGUGAAAAGUACACCAUGAGGAAGACUGCAUACUGCAUCUUGAAGACCCCUGCCCACAUGAGGAAGACUGCUUACUUCAUCCUCAGGACCCCUGCCCACAAUCACCGGAGAGCAGUGCACAGACGCCAAGAGGAGGAGACUUAUGAUAAUAAGUUCCUAGAGCUAGUUACAAUAUUCCCCAUCUAUACACAGGAAUUAUGAAUAUGUAUAUGACUAAUGCAAUAGUGAAAGUAUAGAAACCUGUAACAAAUGCUAAUCAGUGCACCCCUGGCUAUGGUCACGCACCCAGUGCUGUUGCUUUUGCUUUACUGAAUUUGUCCCUCAAUAAAACCCUGUUAUCUGGA
This is a long non-coding RNA of Neopsephotus bourkii (Bourke's parrot), 892 nucleotides long. RefSeq lists it as uncharacterized. Lineage: Eukaryota; Metazoa; Chordata; Aves; Psittaciformes; Psittacidae. The transcript is spliced from 2 exons. The record is from RefSeq and is a predicted model, not a curated record.